RNAcentral lists this ribosomal RNA (593 nucleotides) under uncultured bacterium. RNAcentral's name for it is "bacterial SSU rRNA". It matches the Rfam family "Bacterial small subunit ribosomal RNA", at positions 378 to 962 of the family's 1533-position model. The record is from RNAcentral.
CAAGCCUGAUCCAGCCAUGCCGCGUGUGUGAGGAAGGCCUGCGGGUUGUAAAGCACUUUUGUCCGGAAAGAAAAGCUUAGGGUUAAUAACCCUGAGUCAUGACGGUACCGGAAGAAUAAGCACCGGCUAACUUCGUGCCAGCAGCCGCGGUAAUACGAAGGGUGCAAGCGUUACUCGGAAUUACUGGGCGUAAAGCGUGCGUAGGUGGUUUGUUAAGUCUGAUGUGAAAGCCCUGGGCUCAACCUGGGAAUGGCAUUGGAAACUGGCUUACUAGAGUGCGGUAGAGGGUAGCGGAAUUCCCGGUGUAGCAGUGAAAUGCGUAGAUAUCGGGAGGAACAUCCGUGGCGAAGGCGGCUACCUGGACCAGCACUGACACUGAGGCACGAAAGCGUGGGGAGCAAACAGGAUUAGAUACCCUGGUAGUCCACGCCCUAAACGAUGCGAACUGGAUGUUGGGGGCAACUUGGCCCUCAGUAUCGAAGCUAACGCGUUAAGUUCGCCGCCUGGGAAGUACGGUCGCAAGACUGAAACUCAAAUGAAUUGACGGGGGCAAGGGCGAAUUCUGCAGAUAUCCAUCACACUGGCGGCCGCUC